This 321-nucleotide ribosomal RNA is filed under the name uncultured eukaryote. RNAcentral describes it as "partial 18S ribosomal RNA". It matches the Rfam family "Eukaryotic small subunit ribosomal RNA", at positions 1470 to 1796 of the family's 1831-position model. The record is from RNAcentral.
CCCUUAGAUGUCCUGGGCCGCACGCGCGCUACACUGACAUGUUCAACAAUCCUCCUAGUUCGACAGGAUUUGGGAAAUCUUUGAACGCAUGUCGUGAUAGGGAUAGAUCAUUGCAAUUAUUGAUCUUGAACGAGGAAUUCCUAGUAAACGCGAGUCAUCAGCUCGCAUUGAUUACGUCCCUGCCCUUUGUACACACCGCCCGUCGCACCUACCGAUUGAAUGUUUCGGUGAAGAUUCCGGAUAGGACUUUUUUGAUUUAUUUCAAUUCUGUCUUAAAAGCUAUCUAAACCUCAACAUUUAGAGGAAGGUGAAGUCGUAACA